Molecule: transfer RNA, 73 nt
Filed under: Nevskiaceae bacterium
Lineage: Bacteria; Pseudomonadati; Pseudomonadota; Gammaproteobacteria; Nevskiales; Nevskiaceae
Also listed under: 3 other names
Description: tRNA-Ile
Rfam family: tRNA
About the family: Transfer RNA (tRNA) molecules are approximately 80 nucleotides in length. Their secondary structure includes four short double-helical elements and three loops (D, anti-codon, and T loops).
Source: RNAcentral
GGGCCAGUAGCUCAGUGGUUAGAGCAGGGGACUCAUAAUCCCUUGGUCGUAGGUUCGAUCCCUACCUGGCCUA